GACAUAUAGAAGACUUAUGUUACGGCCAUAAGAUAGGUAAAGUUACCGUAUGUUU
Molecule: transfer RNA, 55 nt
Filed under: Taenia pisiformis
Lineage: Eukaryota; Metazoa; Platyhelminthes; Cestoda; Cyclophyllidea; Taeniidae
Description: tRNA-Arg
Source: RNAcentral